Molecule: long non-coding RNA, 1522 nt
Organism: Mauremys reevesii (Reeves's turtle)
Lineage: Eukaryota; Metazoa; Chordata; Testudines; Geoemydidae
Exons: 4
Source: RefSeq, a predicted model, not a curated record
UCACUGGCCAGGUUAAAAGGUUCCUGACAUCAGCAUCAUCCUAAUAUCUUCUAUGUUCAUAGAUUUCACACAGGCAGUUUUUCUGUUCACAGAAGGAUAGCCUUUUCUGGUGUCACACCGGAUGCUCUGAAAGCUAGAAAUCUAACAAUGAAGCCACCCACAAAAUCCUCUGGGAAAAAAGGAACAUGGAUUUGAAUACACACAUAUGGAGUUCACCACCCCUCAAACAAGAGAGUUUCAGCUUGACCACUCCACUGCAAAAGCAUUCCAGGUACUAAGGGGCAUGAAGACACCUCCGAGGCCUGUACCAGGAUAAAAAGUUCACAUCACACAGAUGGCACAAGAAAAUUCUUUCAGUCUUUGCAACUCUGAACUACAUCAAGAUGUUAACUGUGGUGAUUUGAAGAAAUACAAAGAGAAACCAGAAGAGGUUAUCCCUACAGUUGAAUUAACACAGCCCUUUAAGGGUCAAGAACCUUUAAUACUAGCACAACCACUGCUGCAAAUGGUUUGUACAAUACCUCCAUUAGUGCCCACAUAUGCAGGGUAUUUUAACUCAUCUGUGCUACGGGCUUUAAUUUGGCUUCUCUUGUUCAGGAGCAAAAUCAUUAUCCAAGACACAAAAAUAGAAUUACCCGACAACUAAGAAGCAGCCAGUCUCCCUUUUUACUACCAGUUUGCAUAUCAGUCCCUAUUUUCAAAGGAAGCAAAAAUAGAUCCACAGACAAUUUUUUUCACUAAAAAAUGCAUAUUAAGUUUUAGCAUGCGGCUUUAAUGCACAAAGCACUCAGCAUGCAAAGCAGCCAAAUAUGUGGAUUGAAGAAUCCCUAAGUACUUAUCCGCAAGACUAAUACUAAUGGCUUCCAAGCUCUUUGUGAAAAGUCUCUUAAUAUUUAUUUAUAUCGUCAUCUGCAUUUCAAAAUGCCUCAAUAUUAUGAUAUUAUGAAUGUUAAUACAUUUUAUAAAGUGCACUGACUGUAUAGGAUUGAGACCAGGAAUCAUUAUGACCUAUAUUGAGUGUUAUACAGGAAAUAAAUGUUUGUCAGACGUAUAAAGAAUUAAGAAGGAAAAAUCCAUACAACUACAGAAAAGAUACUGAAAUUACUCAGAAAUCUCUUGUUCACUCAUCCAGCUGAAAUGUGAAGUAACCUGUGUCCACUUUAGUAGUGGACAGACCACUGGACUGGGACUCAGGGGACUUGAGAUGUAUUCCCAGGCCUGCUGCAUGACCUUGAUCUCUCUGUGUCUCAAUUUCCUCAUCAAUAAAAUAGGGAUAAGGACACUGACCUCUUUUGGAAUAAAAUAAAGGAAAAUACUUUCCUGUCAUGGAUUUAAUUCUAUGCCCCCUGAAGUCAACAGCUAAACUCAGUGAUUUCAAUGGUGUGGAGUCAGCCCCCAUAUUAAUGCUACACAAUACUUACCUAUCUAUAGUGAGGCUUUGUUCCCUGCUUGGAAAAACAAAACAAUCUGGCAUCCUUGCAAAGCAGCAGGAAGUACUUUUUACUGAUGAGACUAACACUAU